GAGUGAUGCACGAGAAAGAUAUUUUCUUAGUCAAGGGUUUAACAGGGGGAAAUUAUGCCUAAACAUGAGCGCAGCGCAUGUGAACAUCCGACGUGCUUUGAGUCGGGAGAAGAAUUGAGCUGACGCAGACGUGUUGCAAAACAAGGGAUUACACGUGC
Molecule: long non-coding RNA, 158 nt
Organism: Octopus sinensis (East Asian common octopus)
Lineage: Eukaryota; Metazoa; Mollusca; Cephalopoda; Octopoda; Octopodidae
Exons: 4
Source: RefSeq, a predicted model, not a curated record